AACGAACGCUGGCGGCAUGCCUAACACAUGCAAGUCGAACGAGACCUUCGGGUCUAGUGGCGCACGGGUGCGUAACGCGUGGGAACCUGCCCUUAGGUUCGGAAUAACUCCCCGAAAGGGGUGCUAAUACCGGAUAAUGUCUUCGGACCAAAGAUUUAUCGCCUUUGGAUGGGCCCGCGUUGGAUUAGCUAGUUGGUAGGGUAAAAGCCUACCAAGGCGACGAUCCAUAGCUGGUCUGAGAGGAUGAUCAGCCACACUGGGACUGAGACACGGCCCAGACUGUGGAGGAGGGACGAAGGGGGACAUAGUGCAGAUGGGGGGAAGGUCUGGCAAAGAGACGCGGGUGAGGGAAAGAGGGCGUUAGGGUUGAAAUGCUCUUGUCCCGUGUAGGAUAACGAAAGUGCGGGGAGAAUAAGCCCCGGACAACUGCGCGCCAGCAGCCGCGGUAAUAGGAGGAGGAGCAGGGUGCUGAAC
RNAcentral lists this ribosomal RNA (474 nucleotides) under uncultured bacterium. RNAcentral's name for it is "partial 16S ribosomal RNA". It matches the Rfam family "Bacterial small subunit ribosomal RNA", at positions 36 to 538 of the family's 1533-position model. The record is from RNAcentral.